CCACCAGUGUGACCGGGAAUGUGGUUGUCCGUGUGAGCAUCACCGUGACCAGGCUUGUGGUGCUUCGACGAGAAGUCCUGAUGACCAGGCUUGUGGUUGCUUGUCGAAACAUCCGCAGCUACAGUGGCAAAAGAUUGAGCGACGGCAUCACCGUGACCGGGCUUGUGGUUCUCCGUAUGAACUCCACCAGUGUGACCGGGCUUGUGGUUCUCCGUAGAAACUCCACCGGUGUGACCAGGCUUGUGGUUCUCAGUCGAAACUCCACCGGUGUGACCAGGUUUGUGGUUGUCAGUUGAAACUCCACCGGUGUGACCAGGCUUGUGGUUGUCAACGUGAACUUCUGGCUUGUGAUUGUUCGUUGACGCGUCCGAGUGACCGGGCUUGUGAUUUUUCGUUGACAUCUCUCCCGCUGUCCAAUACGGCGGUAUAGCUGCGUCAGGCUUGUGGUUCUCCGUGUGAAACCCACCGGUGUGCCCAGGCUUGUGAUUGUUCGUCGACACGUCCGAGUGGCCAGGCUUGUGAUCAUCUGGCUGGACCACGCCAUGCCCGGGCUUGUGGUUCUUCACGGAGCCUCCAAACUCAGGGUGAUCGUAAGAGUCUGCAUUGCCAACCAACGUCUUGUCGCGAGCUUCAGCAACCUGCAGGACGAGGAUCGACAAGAGACAAGUUAGCACAACAAUCGGCUUGAGUAGCUCCAUAUGAUCAUGCAGAACAGUAGCGCAGCCAAGAUGAACGAGAGCCGAAUGAAUAAAAAUGAGACA
This 761-nucleotide long non-coding RNA is filed under the name Selaginella moellendorffii. RNAcentral's name for it is "long non-coding RNA (SMOE_LNC002105)". Lineage: Eukaryota; Viridiplantae; Streptophyta; Lycopodiopsida; Selaginellales; Selaginellaceae. The record is from RNAcentral.